This 324-nucleotide ribosomal RNA is filed under the name uncultured eukaryote. Its description in RNAcentral is "partial 18S ribosomal RNA". It matches the Rfam family "Eukaryotic small subunit ribosomal RNA", at positions 1470 to 1796 of the family's 1831-position model. The record is from RNAcentral.
CCCUUAGAUGCUCUGGGCCGCACGCGCGCUACACUGGUCGAUGCAACGAGUUUCUUUCCUUGGCCGACAGGCCUGGGCAAUCUUUGAACAUCGAUCGUGAUCGGGAUAGAUUCUUGUAAUUUUUGAUCUUAAACGAGGAAUUCCUAGUAAACGCAAGUCAUCAGCUUGCAUUGAUUGCGUCCCUGCCCUUUGUACACACCGCCCGUCGCACCUACCGAUUGAAUGGUCCGGUGAAAUCUCCGGACUGGCGUGAGUCGGAGCAAUCUGACAAACACCGGAAGGUUGAUUAAACCUUACCAUUUAGAGGAAGGUGAAGUCGUAACA